AUGCCGGGUUGAAAGUUGAAAUUAAUAAAGAUAUAUGCUGUAUACAAUCUGUAUAAAUAGUAAAUACUAAAUUCACUGAUCUACAGAUACGAGUAGGUGUAUUUAAUAAAUAAAAUAAAUAAACAAAUAAAUUGGACGGCGUUCGUGAAAAAGGGUAUAAGUCAAAUAAUUUAGUUAUAGCUUUUGACACUUUUAUCAUCCAGCGUUGUCUACCAGCUACCUAAUAAUAUAUUAUUUUAUUAGAUUGUAGUAGUUGUGCAAUUCUGAAGGAGAUUUACUUACCUAUAACUAUAUGGCUAUAUAACUAUGGCAAUAUAUCAGUACCUAGUUCUCAACCGGGGUGACAGGAAAAAUCAACCAGAAAAGGAAAAAAAAUUUAAAAAUAAAUACAUUUUUUUCGAAAAAAAAAUCAUAUUAAUAUCGGCGUUUUCAACGUUUUUUCUGUGUACUGUAUUUCUUUUUUUUUUAAUAAUAGAAUCAUUUUUAAAAAUAUACAGCUAAGAUUGUUUAUUAUUUUGAUGCUAAGGUGACGCAGUUUGAUUCUAGUGAUUAAAGGUGACAUGAAUCAAAAAAGUUUGAUAACUUCUGCUAUAUAUGUAUGCAUUCAUUGUUGACGUGUGCAUAAUAUAAACUAUAAUGAUCUAUGAAGCUAAAACAGUGUAAUGAUUUAUAUUUAAAAUAAAAAAAAAAUAAAUUUUACUUGAACAAAAAUUAACAAAGGAAAGUUAAGAAGAAUUGCUAACAUUUGAAAAAAUUUAUAAAUAAGAACAGAAAUUGAAAAAACAUAGGUAAAUAUUAAAUUAAUGAAAAUAAAAACUGAUGUAUAUUGUUUCAAAAUUUUUUGAACGAAAUUGUAACGAUAAGAACAAUAAUUUAAAAAUAGGUAAACACUAAACAUAAGGUGAAUCCACCUUGGGUAAACAGUUUAUUAGUUCUUUAUAUUUAUUAAAAGAAAAUUAAUAAUCAACUAAUCACUUUAUUUAUAGCAAGCAUAUUAUAUUAUCAAUUGUUAUUAAUUAUAUUAGUACGUUAUUAUUUAUUAGUCAAUUUUAGUAUUUUAUUUUUCAUAUAUUUUAAUUAUAAAAGAACCACCUAAAAGUAUAACAGGAUCGUGACGUUACACUAAACAACCACGGAUGUCGGUAUUCGUAUAAUAACGGAAGUAGUCCCGAUAAUAACCAUAGUCUCAAAUAACAGGUAAGUCCCUUAAUAAUUUCUAUUAAUAGAAGUGAAUAAACAAAAUAUUGUCUUAUGGAGUACGCACGGAAUUAUUGUCAGUUGUCACAAUUCAUUUCAUUUAUCAUCAAUCCAUUAAAUAUAGAUCAUGUUUUGCUUCAAAAAUUGCCGGACAACGGUUAUUGCAUCCGCCAAAAACAACAACAACAUUAAUGAAUGCUAUAAUAUCCGAAAACAGGCCCAUUUUGCCCCUUGAUUGUACGGAUAUUUUGUAAUUAUAUAUGUUAUUAUUACACGUAAAGGGCCCAAAAAUCAGAAGGCGGCACUGGAGCGGUGGAGCUCGGCGGCAAGCGAUGACCUACGACACGUCGCAAGACUCGAACCAUAGAAAAGAAUACUAAGAGAAUAACUACGAUUCGAACGUUGGGGCUCGUCGAACUGGACGGUAAUGGUGAACCGCAUGGCCCUCACGCACGUGGAUGUAAAUAAUAUUUAUUUACAUUUAUUAAAAGUAUAAUUUAAAUACAUUGUUUACUGGAUAAUGAGAGCACCGCUGAGUAUUGCAAGACAGUAAAAUGCAUAAUUAAAGCUCAAAAUGUAUUUUUAUGUAUUUUUCUUUAAGAGCUUUCCUUUGUUUAUAUAAAUAAUAUAUAUGCAUACGUUAUAUUACAUAAUAUGUGUAAUAGGUACUUAAAUACCUAAUGUUUUUAUUGUUUAUGGAUAUACAAAAAAACAAUCAUCAACUGUUGACAAUGAUAGGUGUAUAUUUAAAAUACUUGAUUAUAAUAAUUUAAAUUUAAAAUAAUUUGUAAAGAUUAACUAAAAUAAAAUAAAAUAGAAAGAAGUUUACUCCUAUAGUUGAUAGGAUAUUAUGUGGAUGCCAAAAAACUACUAUAAUGGGGAAUAGAGAUUUUUCAAAAUUACUGUUAAUGAUAAUUCAAUAAAUGAUGGCAAUUUUUAUGCUAUUCUCAGAUAUAGAAGUAAACGAUUGAUGAAGCUAGUAAUAUGUCCAGAAAGUUUUAAAA
Aphis gossypii (cotton aphid) is the source of this 2201-nucleotide long non-coding RNA. RefSeq lists it as uncharacterized. NCBI's taxonomy places the organism in Eukaryota, Metazoa, Arthropoda, Insecta, Hemiptera, Aphididae. The transcript is spliced from 6 exons. The record is from RefSeq and is a predicted model, not a curated record.